This 402-nucleotide ribosomal RNA is filed under the name uncultured bacterium. RNAcentral's name for it is "bacterial SSU rRNA". It matches the Rfam family "Bacterial small subunit ribosomal RNA", at positions 29 to 431 of the family's 1533-position model. The record is from RNAcentral.
AUUGAACGCUGGCGGCGUGCUUAACACAUGCAAGUCGAGCGGUAACAGGCGUAGCAAUACGUGCUGACGAGCGGCGAACGGGUGCGUAAUACAUGGGAAUCUGCCUAGUAGUGGGGAAUAACCCGGCGAAAGCCGGGCUAAUGCCGCAUACGAUCCACGGAUGAAAGCGGGGGACCUUCGGGCCUCGCGCUAUUGGAUGAGCCCAUGUCGGAUUAGCUAGUUGGNGAGGUAACGGCUCACCAAGGCGACGAUCCGUAGCUGGUCUGAGAGGACGGCCAGCCACACUGGGACUGAGACACGGCCCAGACUCCUACGGGAGGCAGCAGUGGGGAAUAUUGGACAAUGGGGCAACCCUGAUCCAGCGACGCCGCGUGUGUGAAGAAGGCCUGCGGGUUGUAAAGC